Molecule: microRNA precursor, 87 nt
Filed under: Podarcis lilfordi (Lilford's wall lizard)
Lineage: Eukaryota; Metazoa; Chordata; Lepidosauria; Squamata; Lacertidae
Source: RNAcentral
GCGGAAGUUGUGUGUGUGUGUGUGUGUGUGUGUGUGUGUGUGUGUGUAUACACACACACACACACACACACACAACAAGUCUUCUGU